UGCCUAACACAUGCAAGUCGUACGAGAGUUUUUAACUCAAGUGGCGGACGGGUGAGUAACACGUGAGAAUUUGCCUUUAGGAGGGGGAUAACAGAGUGAAAACGCUGCUAAUACCCCAUAUGCUUUCGAGUGAAAUGGAUUUAUUCGCCUAAAGAGAAGCUCGCGGCUGAUUAGCUUGUUGGUAAGGUAAUGGCUUACCAAGGCGACGAUCAGUAUCUGGUUUGAGAGGACGAUCAGACACACUGGAACUGAGACACGGUCCAGACUCCUACGGGAGGCAGCAGUGGGGAAUUUUCCGCAAUGGGCGAAAGCCUGACGGAGCAAUACCGCGUGAGGGAUGACUGCCUAUGGGUUGUAAACCUCUUUUCUCAGGGAGGAAAUCAAUGACG
RNAcentral lists this ribosomal RNA (389 nucleotides) under uncultured bacterium. RNAcentral describes it as "bacterial SSU rRNA". It matches the Rfam family "Bacterial small subunit ribosomal RNA", at positions 45 to 474 of the family's 1533-position model. The record is from RNAcentral.